UGUUGGGCAGGUUCAUGCUUUAUAUGCACAACACUAGCAAGCUUACAACAUGCGUAUAUGGUUAUACAACCACCACCUUCAGUGAUGAGUUAGAGAAACAUAACGAUUAUUUUAUAGACGUGGUUAUUUAUCACCUUUCAGCAUAUAAGGAAUGGUGUUGGGGCUGGUAUAUGCUAAGACGCGGAACCUUCUCACUCUAAUAACCAUGCAUGAAUGUUGAAACUUGGGUGUUGUCCUCAAGCUUACGUUUCUUCAAGUAAGUGAUUUGAUUUACCAAUAAUACCAGACAAUUCAUUGGGCUUUUUCUUUUAUUUUUUGGUCUACUUAUUCCUACUUCUAACGGGACUUUUGCUGUAAGUCUCUCAGAGGUCUUUUUUUCAAUGGCUUUUUAAAGAUACUCUUGGAUUUUUACUCACACUACUUACUCACAAGCAUGGCGUCCGUGUGUGGUGGGCAGUUUAUCAAAAUGGCAUCUAAGGAAAUGAAAAAUAGCCUGU
Molecule: long non-coding RNA, 497 nt
Organism: Magnolia sinica
Lineage: Eukaryota; Viridiplantae; Streptophyta; Magnoliopsida; Magnoliales; Magnoliaceae
Exons: 3
Source: RefSeq, a predicted model, not a curated record